GCUGGGUUAUCCAUGCAUAUUUUCCUAUCACUGAGAAAAAUUAUUUUAGGUAGGGUUUUUUGGUUUUUUUUCUGUGAUAGUGGGGAUACUCUUUUUAGAGCAUGAGGAUGAUAGGUUAAAAGAGCAGUGUCAAGUGCUUCUUCUGGUGCUUUAGGGAAGAUAAUGAAUUUCAGUACAACUAUUAUAUGUACUUUGCUUUUGCAUGAAUGUAAAGCAGGCUUUGGAAAAAAUCAACUUUGGAUGUUCAGCAUUUGAUAGAAACUUCAGGUUUCAAUUUAUUGCAAAUCUUCAUCAUACAUUUCCUCAACUUUUACCUUUCUUUACCUAACUUAGUGUGGGAAAGCUAAUUUUGAAAACUUCGAAAAAUGUGCUACUUUCAGAAAUACCAUUUGACUUUUAAUUAAAUGUGUAAAAUGAAAUUUGAUCUGCCAUAAAAAGCCUUUCAGAGCUGUGUCUUUAGCUUUUAGUUUCAUAGUAUGUGCUUUAUAUUACUACUAGAUUAAGAACUUUUCCAGCAAAAAAGAUACACAGACAUACAGCAUCUCGAAAUUCUAAUUUCCUUUGGCCCUGUCAUCUUCUCAUUUUUAUUUUUUUCUUCAGCUACAAAAUCUAUAUGAUAAGGUGAACUCAGCAUGUUAAAACAUGAGCAUUGUCUCUUGUAGAAAUAAGCUUUCUACAUUUCUACAUUCCUCUUGGAUAUUGCUGUUGAAGAGGUAGGACUGGUCUGAUUUUUGGGCAGUGAGACAACUAGGUGGAGGUUGUCCACUUCCUCUGUCUUUCAUGUUAACCAAAAGCAAUGUAUUUGCUUUUCAUCCUAGUGGAUGUCUGGUACUUUCCCACAAAUGAGAUGCAGGUAAGUUUUCAGUGUUUUAGCCCAUGUCUAAAGCUGUCAGCAUUGCUCUAGAAAAGGAUCAGAAAAUUUUAUUUAUGUAAAAUAAUAUCUAAGCUUUUUACAGUAUAUUGUCUCAGAGAUUGAUAAUGCUUUGAUAGGGAUCCCAUGGCCUUUUACACAACCUCCGUGGCACUUACAGUCAAAGUCCUCGGGUAAACAGUAGCUUGUUUUCAGGAGCCUGCUGUUUGCACAAAAGAUAAACAUAGACUCUAAGCAGGUAUUUAUAGCCUGAUUAAUGUGGUUAUUUUCUAAGUAGGUGUUCUCUUUCAUCAUCUAGAGUUAGAGUGAAGUUGAUUCUGAAUUAAGGAUAAUGGAACUCAAAGUCAUGGACUAUUGUUUUUCUUCCUCCUCAGUUUUCACAGCCAUCUUUUUAUCUGGGACAGGGUUGUUCUUGGCUCUGUGUACCUGUUCUGGUGCAUUUUAAUAAGAAAAAGACAAUGUAUGAUUUUAUCAUAAAGAUAUUGGUAAACAGAUCAUAACUAAAAUUUGUGAACAACUGGAUAUUUUUAAAGUAAGAAUCAAGUAUUUGUACUUUUUUCUACCAUUUCAGAUAUUACCCCCACACACUAUUUUAGGCUAAGAGAAAAAUAAUUCAGAGGUGGUUGUACUCCAGAUAUCGUCUGUAUGUUUGAUUUCAGUUGUUACAGUAUUUGAGCAACUAACCUUUAUCUUCUGUUUAUGGAUAUCAUGCUUUAAGUGAAGGGCAUAUGGUGAGUUGUAUCAGCAGCUAUAGCAAUAGAAUUUUACAUAAUGAAUUUUCUAAUUUUGAAGACUGGCAUUCAUAGAAGCAUAGAAUCAUAGAAUAGUUUGGGUUGGAAAGAACCUUAAGAUCAUCUAGUUCCGGCUCCCCUGCCAUGGGCAGGGACACCUCACACUAGACCAUGUCACCCAAGGCUCUGUCCAGCCUGGCCUUGAACACUGCCAGGGAUGGAGCAUUUACCACUUCUUUGGACAACCUGUUCCAGUGCUUCACUGCUGAGGGUGCAGUUUGCUGUCCUUUAGUAUUUUGUAGCUACACACAAUAUUACACAAUAUUACUUUUAAAAUUACCUUCUUUAAGAACAUAAACAUGGCCAUACUGUAAUGGACAAAAUUUCCAUCUAGCCAGAAUCCCAUGUUUGACAAUGGAUAAUAACAGAUGGGUAAGGAAAAGUGUACAGUACCAGGCUCCAGCCGCUGGUGUCUCCAGUACUUCCCGUGCUUGUUUCUGUGGACUUAGUACAGAGGAUUUCUUUUCUAUGAACUUUCCCCAUCUUCCCAUGAGACUAGGUACUAAUAUUUGCAGCAUCCUUAUUACAGGGUAUUCUACAGCUUAACCAUAAAUUGUCUGAAGAACCAUAUCUCUUUGUCUGUUUUCCAAUACACUUC
Long non-coding RNA from Strigops habroptila (Kakapo), 2260 nucleotides. The record is from Ensembl. NCBI's taxonomy places the organism in Eukaryota, Metazoa, Chordata, Aves, Psittaciformes, Psittacidae.